Anthonomus grandis grandis is the source of this 761-nucleotide long non-coding RNA. RefSeq lists it as uncharacterized. The record is from RefSeq and is a predicted model, not a curated record. NCBI's taxonomy places the organism in Eukaryota, Metazoa, Arthropoda, Insecta, Coleoptera, Curculionidae. The transcript is spliced from 3 exons.
AACCGACCGUGAAAAAAUAAAUUUUAGUGCGCCCAUGACAUGCCAAGCUCAAACAGCAAUGCUCAAUGACAUCUGAAUUUGACAAGCCAGUUAAAUUCAGAUGUCAAUGUCAACCCAACAAAACAAUAACUUGAGAAAUUAUUAUUUUUUAACUAAUAUUUAUUGGAAAACUUCAACACAAAUUAUUUGCUAAAUAAAACUGAUGAAAAUCUCAUAACUUCAUUCAAGUUCACAUAUAAUUUGGCUGUGUGGCCUUUGUUUUGUGUACCUAGAAUGAUUACAAGGAGAAGAAUUGCAUGUUUUAACUGCUGAUUAGACUACACAACCAGAAAUAAAUAAGCUAAAUGAAGUAUGUUAGGAUACCCCAGAGAUCAUGAAAUGUGUUUGAUAGGGCUCAGACCAUGCACUUAAGGACAUCCAUCAAGAAAUCAUUGAGAUUCUACCAUAUUGAUGAAAUUGGGAAACCAGGAAGAACUGCCUGUCUUUACUGUUGGUUAGAGUACGCAGCCAGAAAUAAAUAAGCUACAGGAAGUAUGUUAGGAUUCCCCAGAGAUCAUGGAAUGUGUUUGAAGGGAUAUGAAUCAGCUUUUUUGUUAUCUUGAAUAGGCAAAAUGGCACGAGAAUCUUCCAACUGGACCCAAAGUCUCUAUUUUUGGUUAGAAAAUAAAACUUAUUUAAUGUUUAUGUUCCAUGACCUGUUUAUUGUUUUAUUAAAUUUUGUCAUACAGUUAUUUAGUUUUAAUAAUUAAAGAGAAAGUUGU